ACUUAUCAUGUUACUGAACUCUCUUUGUUCAAAAAGGACAAGGACUAUACAGUUAACAAGAUUCCUUGUUUGCUAACCGUUGUCUGCCACCCUUGAAUCUCCCUGUUUCUCAACAACCAAAAAAGAGCCAUUUAGGUAAUGACCGAGAAGAUGCGGCAUACAUUAACCACCUAUCACCACGCUACUGCAAUACUUCAUGACACUUUCUUUAGCAUCAGGAAAUUUAUCUCAACAUGUGGAGUAAUGCUGUUGGUUGCUGUGAAUUCCAUUUUUACGGUUUUGUCAUCAUGAACUUUUCAGUUUGCUUCUUAGAAAAGAGCACACAGUUUCUUUGUGGAAUCGUGUGGUCCUGGCACGAAUAUUCUUGAGCCAACGCUGGCUUUUGUCCAUGACCAACGUUCUGCUCCAUCCUUAUGUUCCCGGCGUAAACUUUUCCAGCUUCUGCUUCAUCGCUUUGUACACAAAAAUACAACUUGUCUUGCUUCACUGACGAGUUGGAACACUUCAGCCGUCGCUUCCGUGCCUCUGUUACACACCUGCAGUCACUCACCACGGGAUUAUGCCCAGGUAAUGCAGAGGAGACGUCGAGAAGAUGAACACUAAAACAUCUCCGGUAUCACCAAAAGUCAGCGCGGAUCAUCAUUUGUUGUUGUUAAUAUGUUGUUGUUUGUGUUAGUUAACCCGUUGUCUGCCACGCCUUUGUUCUCCCCUAGCUCCUUUGCACGGGCCGCGCUGGUCGGCCUCGUGGAUUUCAUGCCGCGAGGUCGGAAUGUCGCCAAGCCCAAAAUUUGCCGCAAGGCAAGCCUAUUAGGCAAUGCACCAUAGUUCCCCCUUGUCGAUGCGGUGACUUGUCAGCAAUGGCAAGUCCCACCUUGGUCAUGG
This is a long non-coding RNA of Daphnia pulicaria, 882 nucleotides long. RefSeq lists it as uncharacterized. The transcript is spliced from 4 exons. The record is from RefSeq and is a predicted model, not a curated record. NCBI's taxonomy places the organism in Eukaryota, Metazoa, Arthropoda, Branchiopoda, Diplostraca, Daphniidae.